Pyrgilauda ruficollis (rufous-necked snowfinch) is the source of this 1258-nucleotide long non-coding RNA. RefSeq lists it as uncharacterized. NCBI's taxonomy places the organism in Eukaryota, Metazoa, Chordata, Aves, Passeriformes, Passeridae. The transcript has 2 exons. The record is from RefSeq and is a predicted model, not a curated record.
GGGAAAAAUAUGGAUAUUAUGGGAAAAAUAUGGAUAUUAUGGGAAAAAUAUGGAUAUUAUGGGAAAAAAAAAGGAUAUUAUGGAAAAAAAAAAGGAUAUUAUGGAAAAAUAUCCAGGAAAAGGUGCUCAAGGUAACCCCUGGAGCAGCCAAAAUCAAAAAUGAGCUGGUAGGAGCAGCCUGGCCAAAAUUGCUCCAAAAAUCCUUAAAUUCAUUCCCCAGCCGCCCCACAAAAAGAUCUCAAAAAUUUUUAGGGUUUGCUGAUGAAGGGUAUCAGGAUUUUGGGGUGGAAAUUGGGAUUCUCCCUCCCAAAAACCCCAAUAAAAGAGAAGAAGGCAAUCAGAGGUUCAGCUGAGAAAAUUCCCCCUCUCACCAAGUGAGGCCCUCCCUCAAAAUCCCAAUUUCCUGCGCUCAGCAAGGCUGGGAAUGUGGACAGCAGGGGAAAAAAAAAUUAAAAUAAAAAAGCCUUUUCCAUCUUUCUGACAGAGAAAUUAAUUUUAAAUCCUCGUCCGCAUCGCCCCUCGCUCACCCAGGACACUGUGGAACAUCAGUCUUGUGUGCCAGGAUGGAUUUUCUGCCUAAAAUUAACAUUUCAAGUGAAUUCUUUGGGAAAAAUCAGAGUGACACACGCAGAGAAUCACACACCCCCUCCCAAAAACAGAUUCACCACGGGGUUUAGGCAGCGAGGGUCCUGUUCAAGCCCCCCAGGAGUCAGAAUUCCAUGGAAAACAUCCCCCAAAAUCCCUGGGAUGUGCCCAAAAAGGGGCUUAAGGCUGUCAGGCUGUUCCCAGCCAGCUCCUCCUCGUGUCCCUGCUUAAAAACAAAAAAAUGUUCCUUUUUUAAAGAGUUUAAAAAGGAAUUCACAUCUCAGGAAUUCACAUUCCUGGCUGGGGGUGCUUUCCUCACCUCGAGAAAAUCCUUUCUGCACAAGGCAAUGCUCUGCUGCUUUUCCUUACACAUAAAGUUGACUUUAUUCCUUUUCUUAAAAAGUUAAAAAUACAGAAGGUUCAGAAACUGCUUUUCUCCUUGCAGGUUUGCAGCUUAAGGAGAAAACAAUCCUUCACUGAAAUGUUUCUCUUAAUUGGCUUUUUUUAUUAUUAUUAUUAUAUAUUUUUUUCUAAUUGUGGGGUUUUUUUUUUCCUCUCAAUCAUCAUCACCCUUUUUAUUUUAUUUUUUAGGACAGAGGUUGAGGAGCGCUGACUCCACCACUAAUUUAAUAACUUUUUUUUUUACUUUUUUUUUUGUUUUGUUUUUUUUUUU